GUCUCUUUCAGCCUCAGCCAUUCUGCGAUUCUGUGAUAACUUUUAGAAUCAGAGAAUCAUAGAAUGGUCCGGGUUGGUAGGGAC
This is a non-coding RNA of Gallus gallus (chicken), 84 nucleotides long. Lineage: Eukaryota; Metazoa; Chordata; Aves; Galliformes; Phasianidae. The record is from Rfam.